GAGCGUGUAGUUCAGUGGUAGAACGCUGUCCUGAUAAGACAGAGGCCGAUGGUUCGAUCCCAUCCACGCUCACCA
RNAcentral lists this transfer RNA (75 nucleotides) under Candidatus Taylorbacteria bacterium RIFCSPLOWO2_12_FULL_47_20. RNAcentral describes it as "tRNA-Ile". It matches the Rfam family "tRNA". Rfam says of the family: Transfer RNA (tRNA) molecules are approximately 80 nucleotides in length. Their secondary structure includes four short double-helical elements and three loops (D, anti-codon, and T loops). RNAcentral also lists the same sequence under 1 other name. The record is from RNAcentral. Lineage: Bacteria; Candidatus Tayloriibacteriota.